Pogona vitticeps (central bearded dragon) is the source of this 923-nucleotide non-coding RNA. Lineage: Eukaryota; Metazoa; Chordata; Lepidosauria; Squamata; Agamidae. The record is from RefSeq and is a predicted model, not a curated record.
AAGGGAAGGGGGAGGAGAUUUUCUGGCGUGUGUUGAUUUAACUUCAGGUUUUUUUCCUGCCUUGGUUUGGGGUGUUUGUUUUGUUAAAGAUCCUCGGAGCAGGGAAACAUGGCAUAAAUAUUGUGCUGAAGAUACAUGAAAAACUACAGACAUCUCAGAAAAGGAAUUCAAGAUCAAAUCCUGGCAACAUUUUUACUGAAAAUCAGUCCAACUACAGCCUUUCAAAGGUACUUGCCAGAACACAAAGAUUCAUAAUAAACUGAUUCUACAGAUGGUAGAUCUAUGAUGUUUAUGUCUCAAAUUAUUGUACUUCUUUUAACUUAAUUUGCAUGGUGUUUAGAACUGUAUUACUUAAAUGCUCUAAAACAAAGGAGCCCCUGACCAAAGCCGUAAAAUCUGGAUGAAAAGAGAGGAAUGAGGAAUCAUGAGGAAAUUUUGUCUACCCUACCAAAAUUUAUUUUUGAAAUAUGCUGUGACUAAGUAGAAUACUGAAAUAAAUAAUUUAGUAGGGGCAGCCUCCUCAAAUCCCAUUUUAUUUCAGAGAGACUACUUUUCAAAUUAACUCGGUGAUUACAAAACCAUAGUACAAUUGUGAUCUUUAUAUUGUCAUCUUUCUGAUAAAUGCCUCCCCCCAAGGUCUGCGAAUUACUGUUCCCAAUAAUGGAUGCUAGCUAUGCCGAAAACUCGGGAUGUUUCUUUCCUAAUAUCAGAGUGAGAGUGAGAAAUCAAGAAAACACAUUCUGACUGACAGGAAAGAACUCAUGUACUUCUUUUUACAACAAUGUUCUUUAUUUAUUGACUACUCUUUCCUUUCCCUGGAUUUGAAGCAAACAAUUUUCCGUCCCCACAGUUCAUUGCUAUGAGUUGCUGCGAGUACCUACAGAUGUUUAAUAUGAUGGGGUGCUUAUUGAUAAAUCUGUUGA